Schistocerca nitens (vagrant locust) is the source of this 7343-nucleotide RNA transcript. It is a transcript of the gene named ATP-binding cassette sub-family A member 7-like, with no coding region annotated. Lineage: Eukaryota; Metazoa; Arthropoda; Insecta; Orthoptera; Acrididae. The record is from RefSeq and is a predicted model, not a curated record. The transcript has 49 exons.
UUCCUGUCAGAAACAUGCGGAUGUUUGAAAUAAAAUUGUAGAUGACACCUUAGAAGGAAAUGCCAUUAAUGUUCCUAUAAAAAAUGAAAAAUUCUACUUGUCGGACCCGACCCAGCUGAAUAAGGCUCUGUACGAGGCACAUUCUAUGCAGAAUGGCAUUUUUCAGACAGUUGCAAUUAUUAAUAUGGAAAAAUUUGAUGUUACGAAAGAGGCAAAAGAUUCGUUGCACUGUUGAACUGUUAUGGCCGUUAGUGCUUUUCCUGAUUCUUAUGUGGGUUCGCACAAGAGAAUUGAAGAAGUAUAUUCCAGAAUGUCAUUACCAGGAGAAACCUAUGCCAUCUGCUGGCUAUUACCACUUCCUUUAUGGUUUUAUAUGUGCAUUUAAUAACACUUGCCAUGGAUCAUUGGGAGACUCGUUUGGCAGCUUUCAAAACACAACAAAUAAAACACGAUUGUCUGCAGUAUUAGAUGAUGUACAGAAUGUCUUCAGAAAUGAAACUAUAACUUACAAACUCCAGUCACUGAAAGGAAUUGCUGACGAUGUAGAAGACUUAAGUAAAUUUUUUAGAAACCUCUCUCAUGGGCAGAAAUUGCAGGGUUUCAUCAGCAUUAGCAACUUAACUCAAGACGAAAAGAAAUUCAGACUGUUGCUCAGAAAUGCAGGAAUUAGCAGUGAUAAUAUAAAUAAAUUUGUGAGCUCCAAGAUAGCAUUGGAUCGCAUCUCUUUGCAACAUUUUCGCAUGCUGACGAGCAAUCCUGAGAUAUUUCUAUGCAAUGAGACAGUAUUAUCUGAAAUAUUGAUACCAGCAAGACCUGAAGACAUUCACAUCAUGUCUGAAGCAUUCUGUGAUAGCUACAACAGAAAUAUGACAAAUAUUGCGUCUGCUAUACAGGAGCUGCAGAGUACUCCAGAAGCAGUUAAGCAGGCCAUUAAUGUCAUUGAAGAAAAUUUAGGAAGAAAUCUCAGUUGGGGUGAUUGGAAACAGUUCAACAGGCUAAUACAAAAUAUUUCAAGAGAUUUAUCAGAAUUAGAUUCAUUUCAACAAUCUUCUAAAGAUCUCAACAAGGCUAUGCAGGAAUACAGAGAAAUUUCUGCAAUUCUUGAGCAGCACAAUGUAUCUAAUGAAUAUGCGGCUUUCCUGAUGAUUCAGCAUUUUUUCUGUGGCAGAAGUACUGAAGCUCUGUUGGGAAUGUUAAAAUUUCAUGAGGACACAUCAGACAGGAUUGAUGAACUCCAGCAAAAAUUCAGUGGGCUGCAGUAUUCAUAUGAAACUUCAGUAAAUGAUACUGACAUUAGCCCCAAAUGUAAUGAAAUGUUCCAGAAGAUGAGCAGCAACCCUGCGAUUCAUCUUGUAUGGCGUCAAUUAAAGCCAUUCUUUCUAGGGAAAAUCCUGUUCACUCCACGUACUCCUGCUGUAGAGAGGGUGAUACAAAAAUUGAAUGAAUCUUUUGAGGUUGUAGUUCAAUUUAGGGAGCUGUUGCACUUUUGGAACAAUGUCUCCUUUCCUAUUAUUAAGAAAAAUUAUCAUAAUAUUACCUCUAAUAUGCAGUUCAUUAAGACUUUCAUUAAUUCAAAAUCUGGCCAGUUGUUGAUAAAGAAUCUUUUAAAGAUGACUGGUUUACCUAACAGAUCAAUGACUUAUGAACAAGAUAUGCAGCUUAUGAACAGUCUCACAGACAGGCUUUUUAAUGUAACUGAUGCAGAUUUUGAGACUAUAGAAAGUAUACAAACCAAUUUCAGUCUUUUCUUAGAGUGUUUUGAAACACACAAAAUUGAAGGAUUUGACAGUGAAGAAUCAGCUGCUGUGAGAGGAAUGGAAUUAGUUAACAAACAGAAACUUUGGGCCUUGGUGAGCUUCCUGGAACUGGACUCAAAUUUUUCAUUACCUACUUUUGUGAAAUACAAAAUCAGGAUGGAUGCCAGUAGAGUGGAUAACACAUUUCAGAUUGAAGACAGACUACCGAGACCUGGACCUAGAAGUAAUCCUAAUAUUGAUUUAAAAUAUAUAUCAUAUGGUUUUGCAUACCUACAAGAUAUCAUAGAACAUAGUAUUAUAAGUGAACAAACUGGCUCAAAUAGAACAAUUGGCAUUGUGCUUCAGCAGUUCCCAUAUCCAUGCUAUGUGAUUGACAGAUUUAUUCUGGCGAUCUCGCGCCAACUUCCUAUGUUUAUGACCCUCUCAUGGGUGUACAGCUGUGCAAUGAUAACUAAAUCAGUGGUGUAUGAAAAGGAACAUCGCCUCAAAGAAACCAUGAAAAUAAUGGGCCUUGGAAAUAGUGUUCAUUGGUUAGGCUGGUUCAUUGACAGUAUUAUACCAAUGCUUCUAACUAUUAUAUUGCUAACUCUUAUUCUUGUUUAUGGAAAAAUUCUUGAACACUCAGAUCCAUCUGUAGUGUUUUUGUUUCUCCUACUAAACUGUGUUGCAACCAUCAGUUUGAGCUUCCUCAUAUCAACAUUUUUUUCAAGAGCAAAUUUGGCUGCUGCAGCUGGAGGAAUAAUUUUUUUUGUCUUUUAUUUACCAUAUCCAACUAUGGUCAUAUGGGAGCAGGAUCUCACUUCAACUCCAAAGAUAAUAGCAAGCCUGAUAUCUAAUGUAGCCUUUGGAUUUGGCUGCUCCUACUUUGCCCAGUAUGAGGAAUCAGGAAUAGGAAUACAGUGGCAUAAUUAUAAUAGAAGUCCACUUCUACAGGAUUCCUAUAACUUGCGUUAUGUGAUGGUUAUGUUGGUAUUUGACUCCAUUGUAUACUUUCUUCUUGCUACCUACAUAGAAGCAAUUCAUCCAGGCAUGUAUGGUGUACCAAAACCUUGGUACUUUCCAUUUUCAAGAUCGUUUUGGUGUGGUACUUCAUCAGUAGAUGUACUGGAAAUUGGCCUGGAAAAUGGUUCAGCACUGAAGAGUGACAACAGUGAUAACUUUGAACCUGAUCCAUUACAUCUCAGACAAGGAAUUUCUGUUCACAACUUGACAAAAGUUUACAGCAAUGGAAAAGUUGCAAUAAACAAUUUGACAUUAAAUUUUUAUGAAGACCAGAUUACUUCAUUCUUGGGUCACAAUGGUGCUGGGAAGACUACAACCAUAUCUAUUCUCACAGGCCUAUUUCCUCCAACUUCUGGAACUGCAGCUAUAUAUGGUUUAGACAUUAAUCAUGAAAUGGACAGUAUCCGCAAAAGUUUGGGAGUUUGUCCACAGCAUAACGUUCUUUUUGAUAAGCUGAGUGUUGAAGAUCACUUGUGGUUCUUUGCCCAAUUGAAAGAAUAUCCAAAGUAUCAGACUUUGCAUGAAAUAGGGCAAAUGCUUGAAGACUUGAAACUUUCUGAUAAGAGGACAGCACUUGCAUCUGAAUUAUCUGGAGGAAUGCAGAGAAAGUUGUCAAUUGCUGCAGCAUUCAUUGGUGGCUCCAGGACAGUUAUACUCGACGAACCAACAGCUGGUGUGGAUCCAUAUUCGAGGAGAGCAAUCUGGGAAGUGCUUGUUAAAUACAAAACAGGUCGAACUAUUAUUCUGACAACACAUUUUCUGGAUGAAGCAGAUAUUCUGGGUGAUCGUAUUGCUAUCAUUUGUGAAGGAACACUGCGCUGUUGUGGAUCUAGUCUGUUCUUGAAAUCUAGAUUUGGAAAAGGUUAUUAUUUAACUGUGGAAACUGUCUCUUCAAGUAUAAGAGAUCAUGGUAAUAAUUUUGGUUCACACAAUUCCAGUGAUGUGGAAACUAUGGAAGCUGGAACAGAAGUUGCUCAUGCAACCAUAACUGAAUUCAUAAAAAGUAAAAUAGAGUCAGCACACUUGGUUCAGAGCUUAGGAUCAAGUUUUGUUUAUAUAUUGCCUCAGCGAUAUGCCACAGAUAAAUUUGAAGAAUUGUUAAGAAGUCUGGACGAAAUGUCGGAACAACUGAAAAUCUGUUCUUAUGGAAUAAGAGAUACAUCACUUGAAGAAAUUUUUCUGAAUGUUUGCACAGAUGAGGAUUUUGAUUCAUUCACUGAACCUGAGGACAGUGUGUACAUGAAAGGUUUUAAAAGAGCGAAAGUCCAUUAUAAGAAACAUAAAGAUUUGAGUGAGCCCACAGUAACAAUUAGUGAGCAGUCAACAAUAUCUGCAGGUAAUGAACAAGGUCUUCCUUUUUCUGGAAACAAUACCACUCUUCAUCAUGUUGAAUCACAAAGCAAACACAAGAUAGAAGACAGGCAUCCACUGAAACAGUUCUCAGCACUUCAUAUUAAACAUUAUAACCAUGCAAAAAGAAAUAUCAAAGGAUUAUUUUGUGAGCUUAUUUUCCCAGCCGUUUUUGUGUUUUUGUCCCUGCUUUUUACAUUUGUAUUUCCUGACUUGACACAGCAACCAGCAUUAGUUAUUGAUCCAUGGGUUUACGGAUUCCCAAAUUAUGUUUUUUUCUCCUCUCAAAAUUCCUCGUAUACAUCACAAAGACUUGAGAAUGAGCUUACUGGACCCAUUGGGAUGGGAACAAGAUGCAUCAGUAAAUAUAAUGAAAUUGAAAACCAUUGUACAGCUAGAAGCAUUAAUAUGUCUUAUGAGCAUGAUGUUAUCUUAACACCAGUGAAAGAGCAAUGCUCUUGCUCUGGUGGCACUCCACAGUGUGCAAAGACAAACAGGUGGCAAGAACUACCAAGUGCAAAAAUUUCAACUGGUGAUACAGUGAUCAACAUGACAGGUCAUAAUGUGUCGGAUUGGCUUGUGAAAACCAAUAGAGAGUACUGGCGCAAGAGGUAUGGAGGUUUCACAUUUGGAAUUUCUGAUGUUGUCCGUAACUACAAGUUUGCUGAUGGACUUUCAUUUACAAAUAAUACAUUCAACAAGAUCAUAUACGAAAACAACAGCAUUACAAAUGGAGGGCAUAAUACUGAUGAUACUAUGAAAACACAAGAAAUAAUAAAGGUUUGGUUUAACAACAAAGGAUGGAUUUCGUCUGUAGCAUAUAUGAAUGCCAUAAAUAAUGUUAUACUAAGGAUGCUACUGCCAGAAAAUAAAAGUGAAGUUACACAUAACUUUGGAAUUCAGGUCAUUAAUCAUCCAAUGAAUUUUACUUUGAACCAGAUGACUGAAGUUUUAAACAUCAAGUCUGCUUUGAGUCUCAUCCGUGCAGUGUCAGUCAUAUUUGCUCUGAGUUUUGUCCCAGCAUCAUUUGUUGUGUUCCUGGUAGAAGAACGAGUCAGCAAAUUCAAACAUUUACAGCUGGUAUCAGGAGUGAAUCGCCUGGUCUACUGGCUUUCUGCAUUCACUUGGGAUAUGGCCAAUUACAUGCUGUCCGCAUUACUCUGUUUCCUCAUAUUUGUGAGCUUCAAAGAGGAGGCUUAUAUCUCAAAUUCGCCGGCUCUUAUUAUCUUGCUGUUUCUUUAUGGAUGGGCAAGCAUACCUCUUUCAUACCCAGUCAGCUUUCUUUUUUCUAUUCCAAGUACAGCGUUUGUGACUUUGGGCUGUGUCAACUUAUUUCUUGGUGUUAUCACAACAGUUGCUACAUUUAUGUUGGAGUUAAUGGAUGAUGAGGAACUGCAAUAUAUUGGAUCCAUAACAGGAAAAGUAUUUUUAAUAUUCCCUCAAUUUUGCUUGGGCCAAGGCCUUAUGAACAUGGCAACACAGCAUUUCAGUAGGAAAAUACUAUCUGCAUAUGGUAUCAGUACGCAGUUGAAUGUGUUCUCAUGGGAUUUCUUAGGAAGAAAUUUCUUUUGCUUAUUUAUGGAAGGAAUACUAUUUUUCUUAGCAACACUGCUAAUUGAAUACAAAUACAAAGUGUUGAGAUCAGUAAGAAAUGUAAUCUCAAAGCUUUCUCCAGGGCAUUCAAACAAGUUAUAUAAUAAGAAAUUUCCAGAGCCAACUGGCAAGAGGAAGGGAGAUGACGAUGUUGCUGAAGAGCAAUCCAGAAUUUCUAAGGGCAAUACUAGGAAUGAUAUUUUACUGCUGCGUGAUGUUUCAAAGGUGUAUAGAGGAAAUACUACUGCUGUUAAUCAAUUAUCAUUUGGUGUACAACCUGGUGAAUGUUUCGGUUUGCUUGGUCUUAAUGGUGCAGGAAAAACAACAACUUUUAAGAUUCUGACUGGUGACAUAGAAAUGACUUCUGGAGAAGUGUUUAUUUGUGGCAUUAAUAUUGACAUUGGUAUGGCACAAGCUCAGAAGCAUAUUGGUUACUGCCCUCAGUUUGAUGCACUUGAUCCUCUACUAACACCAAGGGAACAUCUGGAUUUGUACAACCGUUUGCGUGGUACACCUGACAGACUGCGAAAACAGAUGGUGAAUAUUGGACUUCAAGAACUAGAACUAUCCGCUUACCAAGAUAGACUUGUGGGAACAUUAUCAGGAGGCAACAAACGAAAACUUGCUACAGCAAUAGCAUUAGUUGGUGAGCCAGCCCUUAUUUUUCUGGAUGAGCCAACAACAGGAAUGGAUGUAAAAGCUCGCCGUUUUCUGUGGACAUGUAUACAACGAGUGGUUCAAAAGGGCCAGUCUGUUGUCUUGACAUCACACAGUAUGGAGGAGUGUGAAGCAUUGUGCACUAGACUUGCUAUAAUGGCAGAUGGACAGUUCACUUGUUUAGGGAGCCCACAACACUUAAAAAAUAAAUAUGGAGAAGGUUACAUCCUGCUGGUGCGCGGAGAAACUGGAGUAUUUGAUUCUGCAUUGGAAUUUGUGAAACAGUAUUUACCUGAGGCAGCACUGAGGGAAAUACAUUGCAACCAAGCUAAAUAUCAGAUUCCUCAAAACACAGUGAACUUGGCCAAAAUUUUUCAUGAAAUGGAAGUAUGUCGAAAGUCUGGUUUUAUACAAGAUUAUUCUGUUUCACAGACUCAACUGGAAGAGGUGUUCUUGCACUUUGCAAUGGAGAAUAUGGGUUGAGAACGAUGCUCACUAAGGUGUCCAUGUGACAAAAGGAGAUAUUGCAAGGCUUUGAGAAUCUCCAAUGGAUAAAAAAUAUUCUACUUAGAAAUUUGAUCUGAUAAGCUGUCACGUGGACAGUACGAGUUCUUCAGAGCAACCCGAAAUCAUUGGUCUCUUGCAGCUGAACAUGAACCUAUAUUAGCCACCUGUGGAGUUACACAAGUAUUGUUUGUCUGAAAGAUCUCACUAACUUAUGACUUAUUAUGCAACUAUUUAUUCAGAAACAUUACAAUUGAAGCUUUCAGAAAGCUGUGGUGCUGUCUAAAUAUGCACUUCUUCAGACAAUUUUAAUUUUUUAUAAUGUAAUAUUUUUUUUUUUUUUUGUGCUCACUAUCAUAAUGUGCCUUAACAGUAUUCGUCAAAGAAAUGUCAGUAUUUUUAUAUACGUGUUGCUGCACUUUAUUUUUGGCAUGUGAUAUUGUGCAUUAUGUGCGCAUUUACAGUAUUCAUUGUUAGAGA